Molecule: ribosomal RNA, 429 nt
Filed under: Actinomycetes bacterium
Lineage: Bacteria; Bacillati; Actinomycetota; Actinomycetes
Description: Actinobacteria bacterium partial 16S ribosomal RNA
Rfam family: Bacterial small subunit ribosomal RNA
Source: RNAcentral
UAGGGAAUCUUCCGCAAUGGGCGAAAGCUUGACGGGACAAAGCAGCGUGAGUGAUGAAGGUCUUCGGAUCGUAAAACUCUGUUAUUAGGGAAGAACAAAUGUGUAAGUAACUAUGCACGUCUUGACGGUACCUAAUCAGAAAGCCACGGCUAACUACGUGCCAGCAGCCGCGGUAAUACGUAGGUGGCAAGCGUUAUCCGGAAUUAUUGGGCGUAAAGCGCGCGUAGGCGGUUUUUUAAGUCUGAUGUGAAAGCCCACGGCUCAACCGUGGAGGGUCAUUGGAAACUGGAAACCUUGAGUGCAGAAGAGGAAAUUGGAAUUCCAUGUGUAGCGGUGAACUGCGCAGCGAUAUGGAGGAACACCAGUGGCGAAGGCGACUUUCUGGUCUGUAACUGACGCUGAUGUGCGAAAGCGUGGGGAUCAAACAGG